GUGAUGUAAUGGCAGGAAGAAGGUGUGUCUUGCUCUUUGCUGGUUCCUGUUUGUUGUUUGCUGCUGCAGUGAACUGCUGUCCAGCGAUGCCUGCCUGCCUUGGAGCCAACUGAGUGUGGACUGAAACCUCCAAAAUCUGAUAAAACCUUGAUGCUCUUUUCCCCAAAGACUUUCACUGGAAACUAAAGUCCAUAAAUGUCUAUUUGCAAUGUGGAGGUCAAGCUCUGAAUGAGAAAUCUACGCUGAACGCUGUCUCUGUUGCAAUCCCACUGUGAAAUAAGCAAGAUGCUUAAUCUCUGGUGCAAAAAUGUUCCCAUUUGCAAUAACAAGUUUUUUACAUUUUGUCCAGUGUCUAGGAUAAGACAGGUUUUCAAAAAAGUACAUUCAAUAACUCCCUAGUGACAAAAAACUCCUCUAUUUUAAGUCCAGAUAUGAUUUAAGUCCAGAUUAUAGAUUUAGUCUAUGUAUAUAAAAACCAUGAUUUAUGCAGAUAAUAAAAUAACUCAUUCACUACCUGA
Molecule: long non-coding RNA, 518 nt
Organism: Cavia porcellus (domestic guinea pig)
Lineage: Eukaryota; Metazoa; Chordata; Mammalia; Rodentia; Caviidae
Exons: 2
Source: RefSeq, a predicted model, not a curated record